Molecule: small RNA, 119 nt
Filed under: Salmonella enterica
Lineage: Bacteria; Pseudomonadati; Pseudomonadota; Gammaproteobacteria; Enterobacterales; Enterobacteriaceae
Description: RtT sRNA
Rfam family: RtT RNA
About the family: This family represents a bacterial cis-regulatory element known as RtT RNA. The exact function of RtT is unknown although it is thought that it may be involved in changing the cellular response in relation to amino acid starvation.
Source: RNAcentral
GUAUCUGAAGCCUGACGAGGAUGAGAACCUCUGGGGGCAAGAGGUUCGACUCGAGCGAAGCGAGAGAACGUUGCGUCAGCAACGGCCCGCAGUGGCAAGUCAUCCUCUGUCACCGGCAG